RNAcentral lists this ribosomal RNA (271 nucleotides) under uncultured bacterium. RNAcentral describes it as "partial 16S ribosomal RNA". It matches the Rfam family "Bacterial small subunit ribosomal RNA", at positions 524 to 794 of the family's 1533-position model. The record is from RNAcentral.
UACGGAGGGAGCUAGCGUUGUUCGGAAUUACUGGGCGUAAAGCGUACGUAGGCGGACUCUUAAGUCGGUGGUGAAAUCCUGGAGCUCAACUCCAGAACUGCCUUCGAUACUGGGAGUCUAGAGUUCGGGAGAGGUGAGUGGAACUGCGAGUGUAGAGGUGAAAUUCGUAGAUAUUCGCAAGAACACCAGUGGCGAAGGCGGCUCACUGGCCCGAUACUGACGCUGAGGUGCGAAAGCGUGGGGAGCAAACAGGAUUAGAAACCCGUGUAGU